UCUUCAAAUGUGAAGAGAGCAACACAAGACUUCAAGGAACACGGAAAAUCAAGGUAACAUGACAUCACCAAAAGAACACAGUAACAUUCUAAUCAUCGACCCCAAAGAAAUGAAGGUUUGUGAUCUGCCCAAUAGAGACUUCAAAAUAGUUGUUUUAAGGCAGCUCAGUGAGCUGCAAAAAAAACAACAACAACAACAAAAAAAACACAGAAAGACAAUUCAAUGAAACUAGGAAAACAAUAUAUGAUCAAAAUGAAAAUUUUAACAGAGACAGAAAUCAUUAAAAAGAACCAAAGAGGGGAUCCCUGGGUGGCGCAGUGGUUUGGCGCCUGCCUUUGGCCCAGGGCGCGAUCCUGGAGACCCGGGAUCGAAUCCCACAUCGGGCUCCCGGUGCGUGGAGCCUGCUUCUCCCUCUGCCUGUGUCUCUGCCUCUCUCUCUCUUUCUGUGACUAUCAUAAAUAAAUAAAAAUUAAAAAAAAAAAGAACCAAAGAGAAAUUCUGCAGCUGAAGAGCAUAAUGAAUGAAAUACAAAAUGCAAUGGAAAACAUCAUCAGCAGACUUAAUUAAAGCAAAGGAAAGGAUCUGUGAAGUCAAAGACAAUUUGAAACCAGGUAGCCAGAGAAGAACAAAGAAUGAGAAGAGUGAAGAAAGCCUUUGUGACUUCUGAGAUGCCAUCAAGAGAAAAAAAAACAAACUAUGUACUACUGGAGUCACAGAAGGAGAAAAGGGAGAAAAGGGCAGAAAGCUUAUUUGAGGAAAUAAUCUAGGGAGAGAUUUGGAUGUCCAAGUUAAUGAAGCUCAUAGGCCCCAAAAAAGGUUUAACAGAAGAUCUUCUCCAAGAUACAUUCUAAAACCGUCGAGAAUCAAAGGCAGAGAAAGAAUUUUAAAAGUAGCAGGCGGAAAAAAAUUCCUCACAUACAAGGGAAUCUCCAUAAAGCUAUCAGUAGAUUUCUCCACAGAAAACUUAGAGGCUAGGUCAGGGCAGGAUGGUACAGUCAAAGCAAUAAACGCAUACAUUAAGGAAAAAAAAGAAAAAUCUCAAUUAAUCUAUUUUUAUAUACCUUGAGGAACUAGAAAAAGAAGAACAAAGUAAGCCCAAGGUUAACAGAAGGAAGGAAAUAACAAAGAUCAGAGCAGAGCAGAGAGAGAGAGACGAGAAAAACAACAGGGAAGUUCAACAAAACUAAGAGCUGCUUUUUUUGAAAAGAUAAAAUCGACAAACCUUUAUAGAAACCAAUAAAAAAAAGAGAGAAGACCCAAAAUCAGAAAUGAAAGAAGAAUUCCUCUUUUCUGGAGACUUCUACCACACGCUUUAAAGAGGAAUUAAUUCAAAUCCUUCUCAAACUCUUAAGAAAACUGAAGAGGAAGGAAGGUUUCCAAUUUAUUUACAAGGCCAGUAUAUCAAAGCCAUCCGAAGACACUAGAAGAAAAGAAAGUUACAGGCUGAUAAGCCUGAUGAAUAUAGAUGCAAAGCUCUUUAACAAACUAUGAGCAAACUGAAUUCAACAGCACAAUAAAAAGUUAUACAUUCUGAUCAAGUUGAAUUUAUCUGUGGGAUGCCAGAAUGGUUCAGCAUAUGCAAAUCAAUAAAUGUGAUACACCACAUUAAUAAAAAUGAAGGAUAUAAUUGUAUGAUUAUUUCAGUAGAUACAGAGAAAAUGUUUGACAAAAUUCCUCCUUUCAUGAUUAAAGCUCUCAACCAAUUUAGUAUAGAAGAAAUGAUGCCUUCACAUAAUAGAGGCCAUAUAAGACAUACCCAGAACUAAUAUCAUACUCAACAGUGAAAAUCUGGAAACUUUUCCCCUAAGAUCAGGAAUAAGACAAGGAUGCUCUACUCUUGCCAUCCCUAUUUAACCGUAGUACUGGAAGGCCCAGUCAGAGCAAUUAGAUAAGAAAUGAAAAGUAUCUAACUUGGAAAGGAGAAAGUAAAACUGUCUGUUUGCAGACGACAUGAUUUUAUAUACAGAAAACUCUAAAGGGCCACCAAAAAACUUAGAACUAACAAACGAAUUCAAUAAAGUUGUAGAAUAUCAAAUCAACAUACAAAAAUCAGUAAUUUUUAUUUUUAUAUUGACAAUGAAUUAUCUGAAAGAGAAAUUAAGAAAACCUCAUUUAUAAUAGCAUCAAAAAUAAUAUUUAGGAAUAAAUUUAAAUGAAGAAGUAUAAGAUUUAUACACUGAAAACUAAGAAAUUGAUGACAUUGAGAAAGACACAAGUGAAAGGAAAGAUAUCCCAUCCAUGUUAAUGGAUUGGAAGAAUUAAUGUUAUUAAAAUGUUCAUAUGACCUAAAGUGAUCUACAGAUUCAACACAAUCCCUAUCAAAAUUCCAUUGGUAUGGGGCACCUGGGUAGCUCAGUGGUUGAGCAUCUGCCUUUGGCUCAAGUCAUGAUUCUGGGGUCCUGGGAUCAAGUUCUGCAUCAGGCUCUCCACAGGGAGCCUGCUUCUUCCUCUGCCUAUGUCUCUGCUUCUCUCUAUCUCUCGCUAUUAAAUAAAAUCUUACCAAAAAAUUCCAUUGGUAUUUUUCACAGAAAUAGAAAAACAGAAAAAACCACCCUAAAAUUCAUAUGAAACCACAAAAGAUCACAAAUAAACAACAUCCUCUUAUGAAAGAAAAACAAAGCUUGAAGCAUCACACUUCCUGACUUCAAACUAUAAUAGAAAGCUACAGUAGUCAAAAUAGUAUGGUACUUACAGAAAAAGAGACACAUAAUCUAAUGGAACAGAGCAGAGAGCCCAGAUACAAACACAGGCAUAUACAGUCAACUAAUCUUUGACCAAGAACAUACUAUGGGGAAAAGAUAAUUUCUUCAAUAAAUAGUAUUGGGAAAACUGGAUAUCCAUAUGCAAAAUAAUGAAACUAAACCUACCUUAUAUGACUUAUGAAAAUGAACUCAAAAUGGAUUAAAGACUUCAAUGUAAAACCUGAAACUAUAAAGCUCCUCAAAGAAAGCCUAGGGAAAAAGCGCCUUGACAUUAGUCGUGGCAAUGUCUUUUUGGACAUGAUAACAAAAGCAAAAGCAAAACAAGUAAUACCAUAUCAAACUAAAAAGCUUCUGCACAGCCAAGUACACCACCCACAGAGUGAAAAGACAACGUGUGUAAUUAAAGAAAAUAUUUGUAAAACAUAUCUGAUAAGGAGCUAAUAUCCAAAAUACAUAAGGAACUCAAUUCAAUAUCAAAAUAAUAAUAAUCCAAUUUAAAGACAGACAAUGGACUUGACUACACAUUUUUCCAAAGAAGACAAAAAAUGCCCAAUAGGUAUAGAAGAAGGUACCAACAUCACUGAUCAUCACAGAAAUUUACAAAUCAAAACCACACUGGAUAAUAAUAUGGAGAUUCUUCAAAAAAUUAAAAAUAGAACUACUCUAUGAUAAUUCCACUUCUGUGUAUAUAUCCAAAGAAAUCACUACACUCAAAGAAAUAUCUAUACUUCCAUGUUCACUGCAGCAUUAUUCACAAUAGCCAAGACACAGAAACAAACCAAGGUUUUGUCAAUGGAUGAAUGGAUAAAGGAGAUGGUAUGUAUAUGUGUAUAUAUAUGUAUGUGUAUAUAUAUAUAUGUAUGUGUGUAUAUACAUAUAUAUAUAUAUGUAUGUGUGUGUACACACACAGUGGAAUAUUAUUCAGCCAUGAGAAAGAAGUAAAGCCUGCCAUUUGAAACAGCAUGUAUGAAUGCAGAGGUCAUUAAUUUUGAAUUCAUAGAAACCAACAGGGUAGAAGGAUAGUUAUCAGGGGCUGGAGAUGGGGAGACAAACCUUCGGAUAUAAUAUGAUUAAGCUCUAACAAUCCAAUGAACAGCAUGAUGACUAUAGUUAAUAACACUGUUUGAAAUUCGCUAAGACCUUAAACAUUCUUACCACACAUAUAUACACAAAAAAGGAACUAUUUGAGGUGAUGGAUGUGUUAAUUAACUUGAUUGUAGUAAUCACUAAAUAUACAUAUGUUAAAUUAUCACAUUGUGUACUUUAAACAUAUACAAUUUGAUUUGUCAAUCAUGCCACAAUAAAAAUGAAAAAACCUGAAACAUGAGGAACAAUAACAAAUAUAAGGAAUAAUAAAAUAAUCUACACAGACACACACACAAAACAAGUGGGCACACUAAAACAAAAGAAAUACUUUCAGAGUUAGAGCAGGAUGCUUUUCAGAGGAAGCCCUCAAAUAUACUAAGGAACUAUGGGUGAGCUUAAACCCUGUGGACCUUA
This 4202-nucleotide long non-coding RNA is filed under the name Canis lupus familiaris (dog). RNAcentral's name for it is "lncRNA (ENSCAFG00000054449.1, ENSCAFG00805018556.1, ENSCAFG00845013897.1)". The record is from RNAcentral. Lineage: Eukaryota; Metazoa; Chordata; Mammalia; Carnivora; Canidae.